This 440-nucleotide ribosomal RNA is filed under the name uncultured bacterium. Its description in RNAcentral is "partial 16S ribosomal RNA". It matches the Rfam family "Bacterial small subunit ribosomal RNA", at positions 338 to 795 of the family's 1533-position model. The record is from RNAcentral.
CCUACGGGAUGCAGCAGUGGGGAAUAUUGCACAAUGGGGGAAACCCUGAUGCAGCGACGCCGCGUGAAGGAAGAAGUAUUUCGGUAUGUAAACUUCUAUCAGCAGGGAAGAAAAUGACGGUACCUGACUAAGAAGCCCCGGCUAACUACGUGCCCGCAGCCGCGGUAAUACGUAGGGGGCAAGCGUUAUCCGGAUUUACUGGGUGGAAAGGGAGCGUAGGCGGUUUAGCAAGUCAGACGUGAAAGCCCGGGGCUCAACUCCGGGACUGCUUUUGAAACUGUUGAAAUAGAGUGCAGGAGAGGUAAGUGGAAUUCCUAGUGUAGCGGUGAAAUGCGUAGAUAUUAGGAGGAACACCAGUGGCGAAGGCGGCUUACUGGACUGUAAAUGACGCUGAGGCUCGAAAGCGUGGGGAGCGAACAGGAUUAGAUACCCGAGUAGUC